This 1019-nucleotide ribosomal RNA is filed under the name uncultured bacterium. RNAcentral describes it as "bacterial SSU rRNA". It matches the Rfam family "Bacterial small subunit ribosomal RNA", at positions 355 to 1375 of the family's 1533-position model. The record is from RNAcentral.
UGAGGAAUAUUGGUCAAUGGACGAGAGUCUGAACCAGCCAAGUAGCGUGAAGGAUGACUGCCCUAUGGGUUGUAAACUUCUUUUAUACGGGAAUAAAGUGAGGCACGCGUGCCUUUUUGUAUGUACCGUAUGAAUAAGGAUCGGCUAACUCCGUGCCAGCAGCCGCGGUAAUACGGAGGAUCCGAGCGUUAUCCGGAUUUAUUGGGUUUAAAGGGAGCGCAGACGGGGGAUUAAGUCAGCGGUGAAAGUCUGUGGCUCAACCAUAGAAUUGCCGUUGAAACUGGGAGGCUUGAGUAUGUUUGAGGCAGGCGGAAUGCGUGGUGUAGCGGUGAAAUGCAUAGAUAUCACGCAGAACCCCGAUUGCGAAGGCAGCCUGCCAAGCCAUGACUGACGCUGAUGCACGAAAGCGUGGGGAUCAAACAGGAUUAGAUACCCUGGUAGUCCACGCAGUAAACGAUGAUCACUAGCUGUUUGCGAUACACUGUAAGCGGCACAGCGAAAGCGUUAAGUGAUCCACCUGGGGAGUACGCCGGCAACGGUGAAACUCAAAGGAAUUGACGGGGGCCCGCACAAGCGGAGGAACAUGUGGUUUAAUUCGAUGAUACGCGAGGAACCUUACCCGGGUUUGAACGCAUUCGGACCGAGGUGGAAACACCUUUUCUAGCAAUAGCCGUUUGCGAGGUGCUGCAUGGUUGUCGUCAGCUCGUGCCGUGAGGUGUCGGCUUAAGUGCCAUAACGAGCGCAACCCUUGCCACUAGUUACUAACAGGUAAAGCUGAGGACUCUGGUGGGACUGCCAGCGUAAGCUGCGAGGAAGGCGGGGAUGACGUCAAAUCAGCACGGCCCUUACAUCCGGGGCGACACACGUGUUACAAUGGCGUGGACAAAGGGAAGCCACCUGGCGACAGGGAGCGAAUCCCCAAACCACGUCUCAGUUCGGAUCGGAGUCUGCAACCCGACUCCGUGAAGCUGGAUUCGCUAGUAAUCGCGCAUCAGCCAUGGCGCGGUGAAUACGUUCCC